Long non-coding RNA from Dromaius novaehollandiae (emu), 543 nucleotides. RefSeq lists it as uncharacterized. The transcript is spliced from 3 exons. Lineage: Eukaryota; Metazoa; Chordata; Aves; Casuariiformes; Dromaiidae. The record is from RefSeq and is a predicted model, not a curated record.
UUUACCUGGGAACAAACCGCCAGGCGACUACCUGCUUCAUGGUCCCGCCUGGAGCGGACAGCCUGGCCCGACUCCUAGGGGGAUUUCCUCGGAAAAGUGGUUCAAGCCACUUUUCCACCCUACCUCGCCCACACACCUGUGACCUGAGCCCGAAACACAGCAGGAUGCUGCUGCUUCUAGAAAUGAGACCUGAUGUGCAGUCAGUCUUGGAAGUCUGAUGGUACUGACAAUGAAGCUGAUGGUAACGCUCCCAAUUCCAGUAAUUUCAUGGGAGUAGGACUAGUCAGGCGUUUCUGAAAAUCCCGCCAUUGGGUUACAGUAGAUCAGAAGUGUUUGUUCCAGCUCAGAUAGAAAAGCUGAAAGACAGAAGGGGCUAGUCUUUCAGAAAUCCUGAGAAUUUUCAUCCCCCAGGCAAGUUGAACAGGAAGGAGCCAAAGUGGUUCUGAAGGACUGACAAUUGUCAAGCAACAUGGGAUAGAUAAGCAUCCUUCUUCAGCAGACUCCACUUCACAACCCAUUCUCAAUGCCAGGAAUCAUCAGUCU